This 60-nucleotide ribosomal RNA is filed under the name Listeria monocytogenes. The record is from RNAcentral. Lineage: Bacteria; Bacillati; Bacillota; Bacilli; Caryophanales; Listeriaceae.
UCUGGUAGUUAUGGCGAGAAGGUCACACCCGUUCCCAUCCCGAACACGGUAGUUAAGUUU